UACAAACAUCUAUAUUUUGUGUUAGGAAUUGUGAUAAAAUUAGGAAAACAGCUGAAGACACUGAUUUAUACAACUCUGACUAUUUCAGGCAAUGAGAGGUUUACAUAUCACAGUUUAACAAGAUAAAAGGUCUCCCACGAAAUACACAGAUGACAGACAACUCAUCUGAAUUUGACAUAACACAGCAUCAAGUACACAUGUAAUGUGAUGAACAGUGCCAGGUCAUUCCCCAGUUAGGUAACAUACAACCUCUUCAAUAAGGCAAUUCAAAUAUAACUCUUAAUUCAAAUCACAACAUACCCAGGCAGCAUGCAGGGAAAAAGUCAUUUAUUUUGUACAUUGGAAUGACACAACUUGCAACAUAUUUCCAUUUUAUGUAGUUAGAGCAACAGGAUAUAAACCAUUCAAAUAAUAUAUAUAUAUUUAUAUAUUUCAAGUCAACAGUUGUCUUUACUGGAAUAAAGAUUAUCUGUUUUUGGUAAAAAUAAAACUAUUUGAAUUCACUAAUUAACAAAAUGCACAGUGAUCAGAAAUCCAAUUCUUCUCACACUUGUCUUCCCAGCUCACUUGCUUUUCCCUGUGAUGCAGCAGCUGCCUACCCUUGGAUUCAGAGAGCUCAUUGCACAGAGGAAUACCAAUGCUCUGGAUGUGGUUCCCAGUGUGCUGCGUGCUUUGCUGCGUGGUUGCCUGACCUGAUGGAUGGUGGUGUUUCCAUCACACCCGUAUGUACCCCAUGGCUUGGAAACUGCAUUUCACAUCUCUAUUUCUGGGUGCCUGUUCAAUAAAGCACUUGCACACAUGCUUGACCUUCCAUGAGUCAACAGUUGAAGUGCACGUGGAAACCCAUCCACUGGAUCAGGGCCCCAUUUCUUUAUUACCAAUUAAUUCCUGCAGACUUUUAUGAACAAGAAAUUCAAGAAACUGAGAAUCUGCUCAGAAGCAAAAUAAAAACCUGAGCCAAAAAUCUCUCUGAUGUGCUGCAGCCUAAUGGAUGUGGUUGUAUUUCCACUGCAACAGACUUGGGAAUCACGGAAGGUAAUGAAGGCUUUUCCUAGCAUUGAAAAGUUCCCUGAAGAGGAAGGAAUGAAGAAAGGAAAUAAGACUUUUCUCUAUUAAAAAAAAGAAUUGUUAUUUCUGAAAAGACUAAUCUGAGCAGCUCAUCCCUGGUAAUGGGCCGUACAUCCCCCUGUUCAGCUGUGUACUUGCAGGGGUGGAUCCUCUUGAUAAGGUAUCAUGUCCCGCAGUGGCUGAGUGUCCUCUGCCUCUGUCCCCAUGUGGGCAAGGGGACAGAUCUGGGUGUCAGCAGAAUUCCUUCUUGCUGCAUGUGCUCUGUGUGUUGUGGGAAUAGCUUUGGCAGGGGCCAUACCUCGUCAUGCUGAAUCCCUACGAAGCCCUGAGCAAGGGUUACUCAUGUGCCACAGGGCCUCAAGGGCUAAUAAAGGUAUCGUGCUCAUAGAUAAUGAAGAGGCAGAAGUUACCCAUGAGGAGUUCAAACGCCCCGAGACUGCAAAUGGGUGGUUAAGAGACUUCUCUCCUUCAAAUGAGCAACACAGCAGCGACAGCAGCUGAAACUGAGACCUUCCUGCUAGAGAACUGUCCCAGCCUUCAAACCCCAUCUGAAACUACGGGAGAAACUGAAUUUUCAGAGUGAUUGUGACUGGCUUCCGUUUAUCACCUUUAUAAACUUGUCUCGUGUGUCCUGACUACUCUAUUUACUGCUCUGGUAAAAAAAUCAUUGGCGUAUUUCUUUGCCCUUAAAGAUACAAAAAAGCAAAUCUUCAAAAGAUAGUGGGGAGCGAGGUGCUUUCACAAUGACAUUCAGAGCAAAGAGAGAGAAACAACGUUUUACAGAUCAUUAGAGAGCUAUCUUUGGCAGAAUAUUUCAAAUAAAUUAUUUCUUACAAACAUUUUCUGCAGUCGUAUAUCUAUUCUGAACAGUUCACUCUCAGCUAUAGGGUUACUGGAUCACUACUCUCUAUGAAUAGGAAAACACCACAAAUAUAAAAAUAGAUGAGCUCAGCAUGAUUUUUAGGCUACCACAACUGUCUCCAAUGGUUUCAAAAGUUGUAGAUCGAUACCACGGAAAACAUGAAACAGGUUUGCUAACAGCGUGUGUCAGGUUAGAGGAUCACAGCUUGUCACUGUCAUAAACACGCUGGGGAGGGCGGCUGGUGCCGCUGCGCGGGGUUAGCACGGAAACGAGUUGGAGCAGCCGGAUGCUCAGAGCCAGUCUCUGUCGCCACUGGAAUAUUGCCCGAUGGGGAAUUGUGUCUCUCUGACCAUAAGGCUUAGAGAUAUCACGCUGGGUGGCGGCUGCAGGGUUUCCACCCUCGGCAGGGAAGGAGGGAAGAAGGGCUUGCUGCGCUGAGAGUUUCUGACAACCAAAGCCAUAUCCAGUCCUGUGCUUUACCCGCAGGAGGGAGAUGGAACGCGGCUGCUUUCACUUGCAGAGUUGCCUUCUUUCGCCUUCGCAUGGGAAAAAGCACCCGGGGAGCCACAGGCCGGACCCUGUCUCAUGGGCUUUGGCCAGGACCCUAGCGGGAUGGUGACUCUGCUGGGUACCCUGAGCCUGGGCUAUGGUGGCCCAAGGAGUGACUUGCCCAGUCCCAACCUCCCCUUCCAGCACGUGCCACCAACUCCACCAAACAUUUAGAUUUCCAUAUUUCGCUUUGUUUAUACAACAUGUACAGAAUAUACAGCAUCGGAAUAUUAUUUCCCAGUAGACUACAAGUGUCUCCCAAGAUGACCUCUUUUAUCAACAAAUAUAUAUAAAUCGAAGGUAAUAAAAGAGUCGUACCAACAGAUAUUAUGGCUUUUCAAAUAGUGUAGCUGCAUUGUGCCAUCGAACUUAUGAGGAACCAUGAGAGAGACAGAGGGAUCAGGAGGCUUCAGCUGCUGAGUCCAGAGAUGACCCUCAGCUUUGACACUGCUGGGGCAGCGAAGCAGGCAGCAGAGGGAAGGUGGGGUAGAAUUUACCAUCCAUGCUCUGGUUUCUGUCUCCAGACAAGCCAGUUCUAAAGCAAACUCUCCUUUCAGCCCUGCUUUGGGAAUAUUUGGCUGUUCCCAGUUGGGCUCUGCCUGCCCCAUCCCCAGUGCGGGGAAUUGGGUGGCGCGUUGGGCUAUCAGAGAUCUCUCUGUCUUUCUCGGUCCAGGUUUGCACAAGACAUCUGUCUGCCCUACAGUGCCCUGUGGCUGUGAGGGGAAGACUCACAGGGAGAUGGGUGACACACGAUGUGGGGAGUGACUGUGGUGGGUGGCUGGGCUGACUGGUGCUUCGGGUGCAGCAGGAAGGGUGGUGGCAGCCUCCUCCCUGCCUGCCUCCCUGUGCUCAUCCCAGGGAGAUGGGGAGCUCCCCUCAGGCUGCUGGGCAGGGGGACAGUGGCUGCUGUCAGAGGAGAGCAGGAAAGCGUGAGCAUCACUUCUGGAGCACAUCACAAAUACCAGAGGACAACCUUGCCUCGACAGUGGCCUGGCAUGGUGUGCCCAUGAGGCAGGUUACCUGUGCCCCAGCACUGCAUCCUUGCUGCCUGCUGUGCCUCAUGGGGUGCAUCUAAACACUAGCUGUUCCCCUCACUUUUUAGGAGCCAUUUUGAGCUCUUUCUCUCCUGCAUCCUGCAGUUAUAGGGGGCCCUGGCUGCCUUAUCCAUGGGGAGCAUCCAUCAUCCCUGGGACAGGCUGUGCAGGCUCCCUGCCUGAGUCCACUCCUAAGUGGGACAGAAGAAGGUGCUGAUUUGAAUUACAUCUCUGCCAAGACAGAUGCGUUUCUAUGCCUUCUCCAAGCUCAUAGCAACAGCCUGUUUUCUACUCCAGAAAGAGGAGCAGUUGCUUUCCCCACAUUUCAAGUGUGCAGAAAUGGCUUUUGAAAACUGGAGCAGUUUGAGAACUCAAGCAUUGAGAUAACUGGCCUACUUAAUCACAGCAGAAAAUUAGUGAGAGAUCUAAAUUACUGCUACUGUAAUUUUUUUGACUCAUUCCCAUCUCGUUUCCCUCUUCUUCAGAAUAUUAUGGCCAGUCCCUGCAGGCCUCUGGCUGAAAUCAAGGCUGAUGGUCAGAUCAACAAGCAUGGGCAGCCCAGGCCUCUCCUUUGGCUCUGCCUGCAGGAUGCUGAGCAGGAUGGUGGCUCUGCCUGCUCUGCCAGUGAUACGGAAACCAGCACGCAAAGUCCCAUGGGAAACUUGCUGCCUUUGAGAUGUGUGAGCUUUCAUAGAACCAUAGAAUCACAGACGGCUUUGGGUUGGAAGGGACCUUAAAGCUCAUCCAGUUCCAACCCCCUGCCACGGGCAGGGACACCUUCCACUAGAGCAGGUUGCUCCAAGCCCCGUCCAACCUGGCCUUGAACACUGCCAGGGAUGGGGCAGCCACAGCUUCUCUGGGCACCCUGUGCCAGCGCCUCAGCACCCUCACAGGGAAGAGCUUCCUAAGAUCUCAUCUAAAUCUCCCCUCUGUCAGCUUAAAGCCAUUCCCCCUUGUCCUGUCACUACAGGCCCUUGUCAAAAGCCCCUCUUUAGCUUUCCUGUAGCCCCGUUAGGCACUGGAGCUGCUCUAAGGUCUCCCCGGAGCCUUCUCUUCUCCAGGCUGAACAAGCCCAGCUCUCUCAGCCUGUCUCCAUAGCAGACCUGCUCCAGCCCUCGGAGCAUCUUUUCUGAUAACAGCUUUGCUCCUUGGCAAUCUGACUGCUUCUUGCUGGGAAUAUCUCUUGGGCUUGCUUGUUGGGUUGGGGUGGAGGUAGCAUAUGGUGUCCUCCUUGUCCUCUUCUUGCUUGAUUACAUGUACUAUCUCCACCCCA
Molecule: long non-coding RNA, 4786 nt
Organism: Strigops habroptila (Kakapo)
Lineage: Eukaryota; Metazoa; Chordata; Aves; Psittaciformes; Psittacidae
Source: Ensembl